AAUAGGCGCGCGAUUGCUUGGGUCGGANACGCUCCGCGACCCUAGGCAGAAUGAAAGUGAAGGCCGCCCUCUACGGGCCGAGGGAGGACGGGGGAGGCCCCCCCCGCACUCCCGGGGCGUCUGAUUCCUCAUCGCGAGGGAAGGCGCACCCGGAGCGCACACAUUGGGACCUCAAAGAUGGUGAACUAUAA
This 191-nucleotide ribosomal RNA is filed under the name Aeschnosoma forcipula. RNAcentral's name for it is "partial 28S ribosomal RNA". The record is from RNAcentral. Lineage: Eukaryota; Metazoa; Arthropoda; Insecta; Odonata; Corduliidae.